UACGGAGGGUGCAAGCGUUACUCGGAAUCACUGGGCGUAAAGAGCGCGUAGGCGGGAUAGCAAGUCAGAUGUGAAAUCCUAUGGCUUAACCAUAGAACUGCAUUUGAAACUGUUAUUCUAGAGUAUGGGAGAGGUAGGUGGAAUUCUUGGUGUAGGGGUAAAAUCCGUAGAGAUCACGCAGAACUCCGAUUGCGAAGGCAGCAUACCGGCGCCCAACUGACGCUGAAGCACGAAAGCGUGGGUAUCGAACAGG
RNAcentral lists this ribosomal RNA (253 nucleotides) under uncultured Helicobacteraceae bacterium. Its description in RNAcentral is "partial 16S ribosomal RNA". It matches the Rfam family "Bacterial small subunit ribosomal RNA", at positions 524 to 776 of the family's 1533-position model. The record is from RNAcentral. Lineage: Bacteria; Pseudomonadati; Campylobacterota; Epsilonproteobacteria; Campylobacterales; Helicobacteraceae.